RNAcentral lists this ribosomal RNA (253 nucleotides) under uncultured bacterium. RNAcentral's name for it is "partial 16S ribosomal RNA". It matches the Rfam family "Bacterial small subunit ribosomal RNA", at positions 524 to 776 of the family's 1533-position model. The record is from RNAcentral.
GACGUAGGGCGCGAGCGUUGUCCGGAUUUAUUGGGCGUAAAGAGCUCGUAGGCGGUUUGUCGCGUCUGCUGUGAAAUCCCGAGGCUCAACCUCGGGUCUGCAGUGGGUACGGGCAGACUGGAGUGCGGUAGGGGAGAAUGGAAUUCCUGGUGUAGCGGUGGAAUGCGCAGAUAUCAGGAGGAACACCGAUGGCGAAGGCAGUUCUCUGGGCCGUAACUGACGCUGAGGAGCGAAAGCGUGGGGAGCGAACAGG